AGGAUUAACGCUGGCGGCGUGCACGAGACAUGCAAGUCGAACGGACACUUGGAGCUUGCUCUGAGUGUUAGUGGCGGACGGCUGAGUAACGCGUAGGUGACCUGCCCCGAAGUGGGGAAUAACUGCCCGAAAGGGUGGCUAAUACCGCAUGUGGUGAUGCGUUCAUUCGCAUCAGUAAAGCCGCAAGGCGCUUCGGGAGGGCCUGCGUCCGAUUAGCUCGUUGGUGAGGUAACGGCUCACCAAGGCGACGAGUCGGUAGGUGGUCUGAGAGGACGAUCACCCAGACUGGGACUGAGACACGGCCCAGGACUCCGUACGGGACGGCAGCGAGUACGGGUAAUUUUGCGCAAGUGGGACGAAAGUCCUGACGC
Molecule: ribosomal RNA, 371 nt
Filed under: uncultured soil bacterium
Lineage: Bacteria
Description: bacterial SSU rRNA
Rfam family: Bacterial small subunit ribosomal RNA
Source: RNAcentral